AGAGUUUGAUCCUGGCUCAGAAUGAACGCUGGCGGCAUGGAUUAGGCAUGCAAGUCGAACGGGUCCCUUCGGGGACUAGUGGCGCAAGGGUGAGUAACACGUGAGCAACCUGCCCCCGAAUCCGGAAUAAUCCAGGGAAACUUGGUCUAAAACCGGAUGUCGGCGUUUACCCGCAUGGGUUUCCGCCGAAAUAUCAUAGUUCGGGGAUGGGCUCGCGUCCCAUUAGCUGGUUGGCGGGGUAACGGCCCACCAAGGCUACGACGGGUAGGUGGUCUGAGAGGAUGGUCACCCACACUGGGACUGAGACACUGCCCAGACUCCUACGGGAGGCUGCAGUCGAGAAUCUUCCGCAAUGGGCGCAAAGCCUGACGGAGCGAUGCCGCGUGAGGGAAGAAGGCCUUCGGGUUGUAAACCUCUGUCACCCGGGACGAAAUCAAUGACGGUACCGGGAAAGGAAGCCACGGCUAACCACGUGCCAGCAGCAGC
RNAcentral lists this ribosomal RNA (486 nucleotides) under uncultured bacterium. RNAcentral's name for it is "bacterial SSU rRNA". It matches the Rfam family "Bacterial small subunit ribosomal RNA", at positions 8 to 518 of the family's 1533-position model. The record is from RNAcentral.